GUGUCUCUCAGAGUUCCUUUCAGCACUUCAUUGGGAUGCAUUGUUUAGAUUUCCCACUGAAGUGUUUGGAGGAACUCCAAGAACCGC
This 87-nucleotide microRNA precursor is filed under the name Helianthus annuus (common sunflower). RNAcentral's name for it is "sRNA HanXRQr2_Chr17g0796591". It matches the Rfam family "mir-395 microRNA precursor family". Rfam says of the family: mir-395 was identified in both Arabidopsis thaliana and Oryza sativa computationally and was later experimentally verified. mir-395 is thought to target mRNAs coding for ATP sulphurylases. The mature sequence is excised from the 3' arm of the hairpin. The record is from Rfam by way of RNAcentral. Lineage: Eukaryota; Viridiplantae; Streptophyta; Magnoliopsida; Asterales; Asteraceae.